UUCGUAGGCGGUGUAGCAAGUUGGGAGUGAAAUCUCUGGGCUUAACCCAGAGGCUGCUUCCAAAACUGCUGUGCUUGAGUGUGGGAGAGGCGCGUGGAAUUGCAGGUGUAGCGGUGAAAUGCGUAGAUAUCUGCAGGAACACCCGUGGCGAAAGCGGCGCGCUGGACCACUACUGACGCUGAGGAACGAAAGCUAGGGAGCAAACA
This 206-nucleotide ribosomal RNA is filed under the name uncultured bacterium. Its description in RNAcentral is "partial 16S ribosomal RNA". It matches the Rfam family "Bacterial small subunit ribosomal RNA", at positions 568 to 774 of the family's 1533-position model. The record is from RNAcentral.